UGAGUGCUAAGAGAAUGAUUAAACAAUUAAAAGCUUUCUUUAAUUAAAAAAUUAAAUUUAAUUUUUUAGUGCAAAAGCAAAAAUAAAAUUUAGGGACAAGAAGACCCUAUGAAUUUUUAUUGUUAAUAAUUAAAAUUUAAGUUAUUAAUAAUUUAAUUGGGGUGAUAAAAAAAGAAUAAGUAUCUUUUUAGUUAUAAAAUAAGUUCCGUUUUUAGCGAUUAAAUGAAAUAAAUACUCUAGGGAUAACAGCGUAAUAA
This 257-nucleotide ribosomal RNA is filed under the name Ixodes scapularis (black-legged tick). RNAcentral describes it as "partial 16S ribosomal RNA". The record is from RNAcentral. Lineage: Eukaryota; Metazoa; Arthropoda; Arachnida; Ixodida; Ixodidae.